This 119-nucleotide small nuclear RNA is filed under the name Crocodylus porosus (Australian saltwater crocodile). RNAcentral describes it as "U2 spliceosomal RNA (ENSCPRG00005007735.1)". It matches the Rfam family "U2 spliceosomal RNA", at positions 67 to 185 of the family's 192-position model. From Rfam's summary of the family: U2 is a small nuclear RNA (snRNA) component of the spliceosome (involved in pre-mRNA splicing). The record is from RNAcentral. Lineage: Eukaryota; Metazoa; Chordata; Crocodylia; Crocodylidae.
UGUCCUCCAUCGGAGGUCUAUAUUGAGCAGAUUCUUUUUGGUAUUGGGUGGUGGAACCGGAGCGCGCUCCAUCCCCUCCAUGCAUUGACCUGGAACUGCAGUGCUUCCAGGACCGGUGC